Non-coding RNA from Benincasa hispida (wax gourd), 1190 nucleotides. Lineage: Eukaryota; Viridiplantae; Streptophyta; Magnoliopsida; Cucurbitales; Cucurbitaceae. The record is from RefSeq and is a predicted model, not a curated record.
CAAAAACCAAAAGAAGUAAAAACUUGUUGAAGAACAAUGAGAAGCACUACUACACAAGGAGAAUCAUCAUCAUCAUCAACAUCAUCAUCCGUUAUUAGGGCGUCAAACCGAAGCUCUUAUAGGCGACAUGGAACGGUAAAACGCACGAGAAUCAUAAGGAUCAUAGGAAGAAGCUUGUUGUGUGUAAUAUUUCUUGUUGGUGUUGCAAUUCUCACAUGUUGGCUUAUUGUGUUCCCUAAAACCCCACGUCUUAGGGUGGAAACUGGCAAAGUCACAGCCGAUGGUUCAACUAAUAGAAAGCUCAAUGCCACUAUAGUUUUCACUAUCAAAAGCUACAACCCUAACAAAAGAGCCUCCCUUCAUAUGGAUUCUAUGAAGAUGAUAGUCAAUGACUAUAUGGGGCAACCAUUCUACUCCGCUAUCCCUACCUUCACGUUGAUGCCCCGAAACGAGACCGUCUUGACGCCCGUCAUCCGUGUCAACUUCAUAUACCCAUUUGGGCGCCCCGUGCAUUCGGGAUGGAUACAUCUUGAGCUUCGCUUCUCAGCUAAAAUCAGUUACAUUUUCAACAAAUGGACGUCGAAACCUCGAUUACUCGAGAUCUAUUGUAACCACCUCUGGCUUAAGAUCAAUGAUUCUACACCUAAUUUUGAUAAUACCAAAUGCAAAGUGGAUCUCUGAGACACUUGAACUAGGUUUUGUUCACUACAAUAAUUUAGACCUUUUCCGACACUGAAAAUCGUUGGGAUUAGUCGAAAGAGCGUCAGCGAAACUUUUUCCGACGGUCAAACAAUCAUCGGGCAGAUCGUGGGCAAAGCCUCGUCGGCGUAACCUUCCCCAAAGGUAUAACAGCUGUAUCGUAGGAAAAAAACAGUUAUCUCGAGGAUGGAGAAUGGGGCUUUUAUGCCAACCCUAAACAACACCGCAAGGAUAAUUUGUAAACCCGACGGUCGUAAAAGAUCGUCGGGAUAAAAAAAAUUGUCCGACGGUGCCAUCGGGAUAAAUAAUUAUAUCCCGAUGGUGAUAAAUUAGUAUCACCGUCCGGAGAUAUUCAAUUAUCUCGAUGGUGACCUUGUACUGUCGAGAUUUUGUAUCUUUGUCUGACCCAUGAACCAUCGGGGGUUUGUUCAUUAGCGUUGGAAGAAGAUAAAAGACGUAUUAAAUUAUGGUUUUCCCCAACCCCUUGUAUC